Long non-coding RNA from Acipenser ruthenus (sterlet), 804 nucleotides. RefSeq lists it as uncharacterized. NCBI's taxonomy places the organism in Eukaryota, Metazoa, Chordata, Actinopteri, Acipenseriformes, Acipenseridae. The record is from RefSeq and is a predicted model, not a curated record. The transcript is spliced from 3 exons.
CUAAAAAUGAUUAGCAUUUAAUACUAAGGUUUUUUUUCCCCAGAGAUUCCAGACAUUUUGGAAAAUCUGAAAAAAAUUGUAACAAAAGCCACGUUUAUCAAUGAUGAAGCCAAAAGAGUGUCACCAUCAAGUGGUUCUGACAGCCCCACACCAAAUUGUUCUGACUCUGACAAAGAAGCACCAAAACAGGUGGAAAUAUUCCCAGGCACGGGAGUUUAUAUUGACAAACUGUCCUGGAUCCUUGCAGAGAGGUGCAGCACGAAUACAUCAUAUGUAAGAACCCUGACGGUUGCUGUCUUUGACAUUCCAACAUUACUAAAGAGCAAUCUUCGUGGUGGUGGCAGCAAGAGAGAUCCAACUUCGGAGAAAAAGACACCUCUGGAUCACUUAAAGGUGGAAGCCAUAUAUGUGUUUUUUAGGGGCUACCUUGAAAAAGUUUCCCUGUACCCCAAAGAGUGUAAUUGGUGGUGCAAUUAACAGCAAGAUAAAUGAACUACGACAGAAUGAAACCAGAGUGAAGAUUUGAAGGACCAGAUCUGUAUUUGUUUUGUUUUCAACAGGGUUGGGGUCAAUUCCAAUUCCAUUUUAAUUCCCUUUUCAAUUCAAUUCCAAUAAAGCCUAUUCUGUGAAUGCAAAAAGGAAUUGUAAUUUGGAAUUGAUUUGAAGGAGGAAUUGGAAUUGAAAAACAGGAAUUGACCCCAACCAUGGUUUUCAGUGAGUGUUGUACAAAUUGAUAUGUCAGGGCUUCUGUAAAAACUUUUUUUUUGUUUGUUUUUUAAGACAAGCAAUUUUUUGGCUGUUAUC